AUUGAACGCUGGCGGCAUGCCUUACACAUGCAAGUCGAACGGUAACAGGUCUUCGGAUGCUGACGAGUGGCGAACGGGUGAGUAAUACAUCGGAACGUGCCUAGUAGUGGGGGAUAACUACUCGAAAGAGUGGCUAAUACCGCAUGAGAUCUACGGAUGAAAGCAGGGGAUCGCAAGACCUUGUGCUACUAGAGCGGCCGAUGGCAGAUUAGGUAGUUGGUGGGAUAAAAGCUUACCAAGCCGACGAUCUGUAGCUGGUCUGAGGGGACGAUCAGCCAAACUGGGACGGAGACACGGCCCAGACUCCUACGGGAGGCAGCAGUGGGGAAUUUUGGACAAUGGGCGCAAGCCUGAUCCAGCAAUGCCGCGUGCAGGAUGAAGGCCUUCGGGUUGUAAACUGCUUUUGUACGGAACGAAAAGCCCUGGGUUAAUACCCUGGGGUCAUGACGGUACCGUAAGAAUAAGCACCGGCUAACUACGUGCCAGCCGCCGCGGUAA
This 498-nucleotide ribosomal RNA is filed under the name uncultured bacterium. RNAcentral's name for it is "partial 16S ribosomal RNA". It matches the Rfam family "Bacterial small subunit ribosomal RNA", at positions 30 to 523 of the family's 1533-position model. The record is from RNAcentral.